RNAcentral lists this ribosomal RNA (513 nucleotides) under uncultured Actinomycetes bacterium. RNAcentral's name for it is "bacterial SSU rRNA". It matches the Rfam family "Bacterial small subunit ribosomal RNA", at positions 355 to 859 of the family's 1533-position model. The record is from RNAcentral. Lineage: Bacteria; Bacillati; Actinomycetota; Actinomycetes.
UGGGGAAUCUUGCGCAAUGCGCGAAAGCGUGACGCAGCAACGCCGCGUGAGGGAAGAAGGCCUUAGGGUUGUAAACCUCUUUCAGGAGGGACGAAGGUCGGCACGUUAAUAGCGUGUCCGAUUGACGGUACCUCCACAAGAAGCCCCGGCUAACUACGUGCCAGCAGCCGCGGUAAUACGUAGGGGGCAAGCGUUGUCCGGAAUUAUUGGGCGUAAAGAGCGUGUAGGCGGUCCGGUAAGUCAGCUGUGAAAGUCAAGGGCUCAACCCUUGAAAGCCGGUUGAUACUGUCGGGCUAGAGUCCGGAAGAGGCGAGUGGAAUUCCCGGUGUAGCGGUGAAAUGCGCAGAUAUCGGGAGGAACACCAAUGGCGAAGGCAGCUCGCUGGGACGGUACUGACGCUGAGACGCGAAAGCGUGGGGAGCAAACAGGAUUAGAUACCCUGGUAGUCCACGCCGUAAACGAUGGGCACUAGGUGUUGGGGGUGUCGACUCCCCCGGCGCCGUAGCUAACGCA